UACGUAGGUGGCAAGCGUUGUCCGGAUUUACUGGGCGUAAAGAGCGCGCAGGCGGUCGUUCAAGUCGCGUGUGAAAGCCCCCGGCUCAACUGGGGAGGGUCACGCGAUACUGAUCGACUUGAAGGCAGGAGAGGGAAGCGGAAUUCCCGGUGUAGUGGUGAAAUGCGUAGAUAUCGGGAGGAACACCAGUGGCGAAGGCGGCUUCCUGGCCUGUUCUUGACGCUGAGGCGCGAAAGCUAGGGGAGCAAACGGG
Molecule: ribosomal RNA, 253 nt
Filed under: uncultured bacterium
Lineage: Bacteria
Description: partial 16S ribosomal RNA
Rfam family: Bacterial small subunit ribosomal RNA
Source: RNAcentral